GCGGCAGCUCCCGAGCCGAGCCGAGCCGUGCGGCGGAGCGCGCCCGGAGUGCGGAGCGUCUCCUUUUCCUCUGCGUGUUGGUCGUGCCCUUCCCGGCAGGACUCACACGGCGCGGCCUGGCAGCGCUGAGGCCCCUUGAGCGGGUUCCCCGCGGUUGCCAGGGCCCGCCCGGGCGGGCAGGGGCUGUCGGGGAGCGGGAGGAGCCGGGCCUGCGGGCGCCCGCGGCCCGUGGCGGGGGCGCUGAGGGAGCCGUCGAGUCCGCUGGGCUUCGUGUCGGUUGGGGUUGGCUCUUGGGGUCUGCAGCUGCCAGAGAAUGUCUGCAGAGCUGCUGAGUCCUUCGGAGGGCUCUAAAAGGGAGGGGGAAAAGCGGGAGAUGACAAGAGAGGACGGAGCUGGCUUGAAGCCGCAUCGUGAGAGGCGACGAGGAGUCAGAGCAUCUGUGGGAUUUCCUGAAUCCUCGAUAAAGAUAAGAUCUUCAGUGAGGUGUCACGGGAGUCGGGAUAUCAGCAGGCUCCAAAGUCUGUAAAGGCUGGCAUGGGGCAGAGCACUGUUUGGGAAGCUGUGUUGGGAGCACUCAGGUCUUGACACCGCUGCUAAUAGGUGGUUAUUACAGCCCAUUUUGCUGAGAGCUGCGGUUUGACUCUAACAGCUGCUCUGGCGAUAGAGUAUUUUACCUCAUCUAGAAGACAUAAACAUCACAUACCUUUAAAAUACUCCUCUGUAUUUCAUAUUUUGAAUUAAACAUUGUUAUAAGGUUAGUAAGUUAGUGUAUAAAAAGGAUACGGUUACAUAAAACAGAAGCAUUACCUUGGUAAGAGAUUUAUUUUGAAAUGUGUGUCCAUAAAGUGCAAUUACAGGAUGUUUUAAAGUAAGUCUGAAUGCAGAUGAGCUGACAAGGGGGCUUUGAAUAAUUUUGCACAUUGGGCAAACUGUUAAUUUACAUUAAAGCGGAAUUUGGUUAGUGAGAAAACUUCUAAUUUUAUAAUUGGUCACAAUAUUGUUUGCUUCCAUUUCAUAUGUGUUGUUUUACACGUUUAAUAUCUUACACCUCGUAUUUAUUUCUCUUGUUGCUUUUGUUUGUUAGUAUAAUUUGUUCCUUCCUUCGUGUAUUUCAGUAUAACUUAAUAUACUUUUGCUAUAAAGAAAAUUCUAGUGCAAAAUAAAAUCUAGCCCAGUCACUAAUUGUAAUAGCAGUGAGCCAUGGAGAACAAUCCCCCACCCACCAAUUCAGUGCAAAAUUCCUGUUGACUUAAUGGAAGCAAUAUUAGGUUUUAGAAUUUGCCAAAUUAAUAUAUAAGAUGAAGACAAAAAUGACUUUGUGGUGCAAGCAAGAUGUGAAAAAAGGGUGUCUUAGUUAGUAAAUGAUCACUUGGGAAAUUUUAUAUAAACUUCAUGGUGAAAUCAGACAAUUCCAGACUUGUGAGAGAAGCAAAAUGUUCUUUGCUAUAACUUCAUUGUUAACUUGAGCAAACAGUUAAAUUAUCAGUAUUUUGCAUUAUCAAAUAUAUACCUUACUCUGUUGUAACUUUGAAAUCUGUCAUUCACUACCCUCUACAGAUUACAUGAUCUUUUUUUCUUUCUUUCAGUCCCUUCUGUAGUCGACCCUAUUUUUGCCACAAGUAUGUUUAGCCGGUUUUAUAUCCCCAAGUCUAACCUUCUGUGUUGGAAGAACUUCCUUGUCUGUCAUUGGUGUAAAUAGUAGUCAUAAUAGCUGGUCUGUUGAAAUUAUUUUUAGGGGAAAAUUGUGCUUUCUCCAAAAACUGCUGUUGUCAGGGUUGAUUCCUUGAUGAUAAGUGUGGUUAUUCACUGCAUUUUCAGGUAAUACACUUUGUUAUUUUUUUCUCUCUUUGGAUCAUUUGGUAUCUGGUUUGAUUCAGUUUCCACUAAGUAGUAAUUUAUCACAUAAUUUUUCAUUUUAUGGGGUCAGGAGCACAUCUGUUCUGACAUUUGCCCCUACACACAGAGUCAGUGAAGACAACUGAAUCCAUUACAUCAUACUUUUAUGGUCUAAAAGGCUCAUUAAAUAUUGAACCAUUUUUAUGGAUUUCAAUUUGAACCAGAUUCCAAGAAGCAGUGAAUGAAAAUGAAAAUGAAAAUUACUCUUUACCCCUUGCCCUUUUUUUAAGUAAUCAGAGAAUUCAGGAAUAGAAAAGCCCUAUUGGUCAUCACAUCCUGUCCUCAGCAAGAAUCGAUUGAUUCCCUUUUUUCUGGAUUGCUUUUUCUUGGUUAAUGGAAAUUCUGACAAAGUCUUCAUAAUUCAUCUCCAGGUUACUUGUAGAAAGAAAUAAGCUUAAUCUUACUGUGGUAAGUUUCCUCUGGGUAGUAUGUUUCAGUGAUGUAAAAUUCCGUUUUAUGAUAACAGGUACAAUAAACUUUUUAUUUCUAACCAAAAGCUACGAUGAUCUUCAUUGCAUGGAUAGCAAAUCAGAAGUAGAUAGUAACAUUGUUUUCAAAGACAAGAAAUAAAAUUCUGAACUUUUGCAAUGCAGAAAUAAAGUGCCAUUGUGCAUCAGACUAGACUUCAGUAUCAGAACAGGGAAAUGGAAUAAUGCACCGUACUGUUGGAAGGAAGAAAGAAUCAUCCUAGAUGCAGACAUAGCUGCAAGUCUGCCUUAUUGUGACUUGUGUUAGAUUUGAUAAGAAGGAUUUUACAGUUACUCUUCAGGAGAACAGUUAAUCUUCUGUGCACUCCUAAUAAUACAGUCUUGAAGAAUAUAGAUAUGCCUUAAAGAAUAUAGAUGUAAACUAAAAUUAUUUGGUUGGUUUUACUACUUGCUCACUUAGAUGCUCAGAUUUUUAGAAAAACAUUAGCACUAUGUUUCCUAAGGCAGUAUCUUAGUCAGAACCACUGUCAUCAAUACUUAGCCAUUGUAUUAAAGAAUACUUUUGUUUCAAAGCUAGACCAUCAAACAAUUUUUUAUUUUAUAAGAAGCAUUUGCCUAUUGGUUUCCAGGCAGGAGAGUCUUAGUCCAUCUCCAUGUUUUCUUUUUUUUCUAUUUUUUUAUCAGUACUUGAAUAAUAAGAUAUUCUUAACCCCCUAGGGCAAACUCUUUGACUUCCUCUCUCUGGCAGAUGGGUUUUACCCAUGUAUUGUUUCUUGAAAUGUUUAUGCUGUCACACAUAUGAUAUCUUUCUCAGCUAGAAAAAUACAUUUUUUUUGUUUGCUGCUUGUCUUAGUGAUUUCAAAGUGCUUGCACCUUCCAUUAACUCGAAAAAAUAUUACUUGAAAGUAUUUUGUCUUGCUUUGGGGAAUAUCAAAGCUGAAGUUUAGCAAGUCAAACAUCUUUUAUGAAUGGUGCUUUUUUUGUUUGAAUAGGAAGCUUGUUCUCUUAAAAUAGUAAAAAAAACCCCAAAGUUAAAGAUGCCUCUUUUCUAAGAAUUUUGCGUGAGUUUUUCUUCAGAGGAACUUUUAAUCAUAUCCUGAAUCUUAUUUGCAGUUUAUUUUGAAUUCCAAGUCUUGACAUAUUUUGAUGUUGUUGGUUUCCUUAAGAUUUCUAAAUAAGCUUGGUUUACUCCUAGCAUCACAUGCUACUGGUUUUGAAAGUCAAUGCUUGUUUCCAUUGUGUAACACUGAUAGAGCUACUGUUGAGUCAUUGAGUAAAGAGCACCAGAAUGUCCAAGUGGGGAAAACAAAAUGCAUUAAAAAUUGUGGAGGUCCACCAACUCUGUAAUGCUUAUGAUCUGAAAUAUAGUUUGCAUCAGAACUCAAUUCUGCCUGUGUUAAUUAUGCACAGCACUGGACAUAAAUGGGCUGCUUUCUAGCAUGAAAGCCAUGCCUAAAAUGACAGAAAAAGAAUCAUUGGAUUUAAAAGACAUGGGUUGAAUCAGAUCACAAGUGGAAUUUUGCAUGAAGCUUAAGAGGGUUUUUCUAUCAGGAAAAUGAAAACAUUUGAUGUAAAGUAAUUCCCCAAAGGGGAGUGCACUGAUAAAGGCCAGACACUGUUCCCACUCUGAGAAACAGCCACAGUCUGUGAAUUCACCUCAGCUGGCUAACUCCCACUUGGAAUGAUUAAAUGCACUAUAGCAGACCUCUCUGCAGUCUCACCAAGGCCUGGGAAUUUGAAAUUCCUCAUCCAUCCUACACUGGGAGCUGUAGCUGGGUUGCAGACCAUACAUAAGCCCUGCUCUAGCUGCACGCUUACAGCAGCAGUUGAGCAGCACACUUAGCAGCAUUGUAGCAGUGCUGCUAACAGCAGAGGCCCCCACAGUUGCUUCCUCCUCCCCACCCACAGAAGUGUUCUCCAGCAGCUCCACAGGGUAACAGGGCUGGCAUCCCAUGGUACAUGUGGCAGCCAAGUAACAAGAUGGAGUCCCUCAUGACAUACAGUGUUAGAAGGGUUAGACCAGGUGCUCUUGUGGAUUUAUCAUUGAGUGUCUGAAAUGCAAUUGCGUAUCUCCACCUGAGCUGGCUCAAAUCUUGCUGUUGGCUAGUCAACAGUGCACAAAUCUGGGUUGAAUAAAAGUGGAACCAUAAAUUUAGACAGGAGCAGGAACUGGCAACUAAUAAUUGUCACUUUUAGUGCUCUCUCAGCUGUUCAAGCAACCAUUUUUGAAGCUGUGCUGUAAAUAGGAUAACUCGAUCCAGAUUUAAUUUAAAAGUUCUGUCUAAAAUAAUUAUUUUUAAACAUAAUUAUUCCAUUGAUUAAGUUCACACUCUGCUCCCACAAACAGUUGCAUUGGCACCAUUGCAGCAUUGGUAGACUGUGACACACAGAUGGUGUGGAAAGAAGGAAGGCAGGCUGCUGGAUAGCUAUUUUGUCAGUGAGGACAAUAGCCCUGAGUAAUUCUAACCUUCCUCUGAACCACAGACUCUCCCAUCAAUUUCACUUUCUGAUCCCUCACGAUCAGCCCUUUUCAGACUGUGCCUAUAGCCAGAUUACAUGCUUGUUAAUGUCUGGUCUGUGCACUAGUAGAUCAUCUAAUGGUAAUAAAUUGAUCAAGAUCAAAUAGGAGCAGGUAAUCACAUUCCUGUCAAGUUUAGCCAGUUAUGAGUUACAGGGUUUAGACCAAGCUUUAUCUUGGCUUUGCACUGCUGGCAGGAAGACAGAUCAUGCCAACUCUAGUGUAAAAUCAUCAAGAGUAAAACAACUCUCCAUUUCUUGCUUUGUGAGGGUUUUGUUUUUCAAAUAACUUUGUACUGGUGGGUUGAAUUUAUUAAAAUAAUUUUGUGCCAUGUUGCCACCCAAAACCUAAAUUUAUUGUAUGAUGAAAUUGCAGUUGUAUGCUGAUGAAAGUAUGCCUUCAGCUUCUCUUGUAGGUUAUUUUUUUGAUACAUAGCUCCUGUUGAGUCCAGGUGCAGAGGGGAGGGGAUUCCUUGUUAAAAGGUGAUGUGUAAUAUUUUAAAUUCUUACCAUCUCUAACCAAGAAAGGUCCCUAUUUAUCCCAACUACUGCAGUUGUAAAGAAACACCCGGGGGUCAGAGGCAAAAAAACAUCACUUAAGUCCUUUCCCUCAUGGCUGUAUAUACUAUUUUAUUAUUUUCAUAUCCUCCUGGAUAUAAGAGUAAUCCCAUACAUUUCUAUACUAAAACAAAAAAAAAAUUGUAUUUUCUUACUAUAAAAAAUGCACUUUCAAUUUUAAAAGCAGACUUUUACUUUAAUUGUCUUUUCCUGCUGUAUUUCUCUGUAUAGUUUCAAAGAAAGAAAAAACUGCCUCCAAGAGGAUGUUAAGGGAGGGACAAAGUUAAAACUUGGCAUGCACUAAACCAAAUAAUUUUUGCAAGGAAAUGGAGGAGACGGGUCAAAUUAAUUCCUUAUGUAACUCCAUUUACCUCAGUGGAGUUAAAUACAGGAUGAAUUUGGUACCUUAUACCUCUGUGGUCAGAAAGGAUUUCUGUGACCUUAGUCAGCACCAUAUAAAAUAAUAAUUCUUAAGAUAUAAAAUUAUAAUUUACAUCUGAUAGAACUGCCCCUGUUAUUUUUAGUCUAUUAAUAUAACUGUAAAAGAACAAUAGGUCUACAGAACAACAGCAAAAACAGCUUCAUAAAAAGAUUAGUACAUGAUGAUUUGCAGCUUACAUCCAUAGUAACAGUUUUUUGUGGAAAUGAGGAAUUCAUGACAGACUGCUAAUAUGGGCAGUGGCAGCAGGGACAGUUUCCAUUUCUUGUAAGUUCCAAAUACUUUUCACCAGUUUGCUGCAUUGCAAAUUUAACUUUUUUCCUCUCAUCUCAUUCUUCUCCCCUGACCACCCGUUAUUUACUUCUCCUUUCCCUCUGGUUUGAGUUCCACUGUGUGUGCAGGGGCAUCUGCAGCUUCUUACUGCUGAGUUUUCUAGAUUUUUCUCUUCAGGUAGAAAUAUUCAACCUCUGGGGACAGGUGAAGGAGAGAUGUUUGGUCUCCACCAUAAUGUCUUUUUGGAUUUUAAAUUUCAAUGUGCUUCAAUUUGAGAUGCUUUAAAAUAACACAUUUUCACUGUGAGAACCCAGCCUCCAUGUGCCAUUCUGUAGUACUCAAAUAUAGCUGUACCCAGAGAUUAUUUCCCUUUUAAAACUUUGUUAUGAAACAUUAACCACUGCCUCCUCACCCCACUCCCAAAUUCAGGAAAUACUUUUUGUAUCAAUAUGUGAACAACUUUUAAUAGUGUCAUGCAAAAGCAUCUAUAUAGUAUAUUAGUGCGAUGAAAUUGAAGUCAACAGUCUGUCUUUUUUAUCCUUACCAACUUGCAACUAUCUUUUUUAAUAUAGAGGAAAGGAUUUGUGUAUACAUGCAUAUAAAAGAUGUGAAAAUACAAAGGCAUUUAUUGAAAACAGACAAAACCAGGAAGAUGAUAAAACAGCAGAAGGAAGUGGCCUCAGAAAUAACUCUUGCUUUGUAUAGCAGAAUUUAUCACUAAACCUAAGGCUGGCAAGCUGCCAUGCUUCAGAUAAAACAAGCAAUGUAAUAUUAAAAAAAAUUAAGUGUACAAAAUACAGUAGAUGCAUUUGAAAAGCUGAUGUCCUAGAAAGUAAUUAAAUGUUUUUUGUUUCUCUUUUUAAAAAAUAUGUAUCUUUAAAAGCUUCAUUGUAUUUUCAGAUACCAGCAAUCUCAGCUGUACAGAUGUAGGCUCUCUGAGGAUGUCUGCAUCAGGUGUGCCAGUCAGCAGGAUGUAGGAAAUUCCCAAAUAUCCAAAAUUAAAGAAAGAUGGUGGAGAUACAUUUUGAAAGCAAAACAUUUGCUUUAGCAAAUUAGCAGAACUAUUAAAACAUGUUCUGUGAAAAAAUUAUUCACAGAUUUAAAAGCUACUGCACAAUUUUAAUCCACAAAGAGACUCAAGUAAAUGUGUACUGCUCAACAUCCUCACACUGGAUAAAGGAUAUUUUUUUAACAUAGUAUCUUCUGUAUUUCCUUGUAUUUUGGGAAUUGGGGGAAAUCAAAAGCUUUAGGAAAUAACAGUUCACUUAUACCUGAAAGACUUUUCAUAUAAAUGUUUUUGAAGUCUGCUGUUGACUGCAAACACUUCAAAAGCAUGAGAAUCUAGGAUAUUUAGGUCAGCAUUGUACCAGCUGAGAAAAAAUGAAUUAUUUUCUGCAAGGUUGUUUUCUCCUCUCUAGCCUGGUGAGGCCUGCAUCCUGGUAUUCCUGCUAGAAGAGAGAGCCUUUUCAGAAGAAGAUGGAUAAUAAGCACAGCUAAAUUCUCAUGACAAAUAAAAUUGCGCUGUUGCUCUUUAUCUGUAGGGCUUUUCUGGAGCUCAGCAUGUUUGGAAGACUCCAAACCUGAAAAACAAGAUGGCAGAUUAUUAUAAUUAAAAUAAAGAGGUUUUUUCAACAUCUUAAUUCCAUUUGCAAUGUAAAUGGGCUGUUAUCUGAGUACUAUUUAUAUUCUUAAGUAAUGUCUAAUUUUCUCACAGUGAGAAACCUUUUUUAACUUGUUGACAAGAGCAGUUAUCUCCUUCACAGAUUACAUAAUUUCAUCAAGUAUUAGGCAUUUCUUAUAUUUGAAUCAUCCAUGUCUUGAUUGCUAUGGAAAUUCUAUGGAAUUUCCAGAUUUACUCUUUAUGAAGAACAGUAGCCUGGUAGUUGUAGCUGCUGCUUUUUCCUGAAAUGCUCUGGACUUGCCUCAUAAUUUAUACAAAGUUCUCCUUUCUAUAAAUGUUCUAUUUAAUUCUGACUUAUUGAAGCUGAGAUAUACAGAUAUGAGUUAAAAAGAGAUAAGUUCCUCUUCAUAUUCUUCAGCUAAAAUAAUGAAAAACUGUUUUAAAACUAUUAGAAAGGAGAUAAUACUGUUUUAAUAAGCUUGUGAAACUGCAAGUAAUGCAGAUAAAUGCAGAUAGAGCAGUCUUCUCAGAAACCUAAACUGCUAAUCAUUUAAAGAUCUUAUUCCAGAAUGCUGACCACAGGCAACAGGAAUGAGUAAAGAAGCAUCUUUAGCACCAUGGGAUUUUGAAGACCCAUAUUAAUCCCAAAAGAAAAAAGAAAGGUGUAAUUUUAGCAUGUUCAACAUAGAACUCAGGGAUGUUUCUAUUCUUUGCUACUGGACUUCCUUAUCAUGUAUGGAAAGAAUGAAGAAAGUUAUUCUUGAGCUAAACAAACAAAGGUAUUAAUGCAUAUCUGUGUUUAUAUGUAAAUAUUUUAUAUAUUAUUAUAUAUAAAUGCAGUCAGAAAACCACAGUUUUGUAUUUUAUGCUGAAUAAAUGGUCUUUUAC
Molecule: long non-coding RNA, 8620 nt
Organism: Apus apus (common swift)
Lineage: Eukaryota; Metazoa; Chordata; Aves; Apodiformes; Apodidae
Exons: 3
Source: RefSeq, a predicted model, not a curated record